GAUGAAGAACGUAGCGAAAUGCGAUACUUGGUGUGAAUUGCAGAAUCCCGUGAACCAUCGAGUCUUUGAACGCAAGUUGCGCUCGAAGCCAUUAGGCCGAGGGCACGCCUGCCUGGGUGUCACACGUCGUUGCCCCCCCAUCUACUCCUUCGGGAUUGCGGGGGGCGGAUGAUGGCCUCCUGUGCGCCUCGUCGCGCGGUUGGCAUAAAUGCCAAGUCCUCGGCGACGCACGCCACGACAAUCGGUGGUUGCGAAACCUCGGUUGCCCGUCGUGUGCGGUCGUCGCGCAUCGAGGGCUCGAAAAAAUUGCCGGGCUCCGGCUCGGCUUUCAACGCGACCCCAGGUCAGGCGGGGUUACCCGCUGAAUUUAAGCAUAUCAAUAAGCGGAGGA
Molecule: unclassified non-coding RNA, 391 nt
Filed under: soil metagenome
Description: partial contains 5.8S ribosomal RNA, internal transcribed spacer 2, and large subunit ribosomal RNA
Rfam family: 5.8S ribosomal RNA (bases 1-122)
Source: RNAcentral